This 1199-nucleotide ribosomal RNA is filed under the name uncultured bacterium. Its description in RNAcentral is "bacterial SSU rRNA". It matches the Rfam family "Bacterial small subunit ribosomal RNA", at positions 132 to 1320 of the family's 1533-position model. The record is from RNAcentral.
GAUAGAGGGGGAUACCAGUUGGAAACGACUGUUAAUACCGCAUAAUGUCUACGGACCAAAGUGUGGGACCUUCGGGCCACAUGCUAUCGGAUGUGCCUACGUGGGAUUAGCUAGUUGGUGAGGUAAUGGCUCACCAAGGCGACGAUCCCUAGCUGGUUUGAGAGGAUGAUCAGCCACACUGGAACUGAGACACGGUCCAGACUCCUACGGGAGGCAGCAGUGGGGAAUAUUGGACAAUGGGCGCAAGCCUGAUCCAGCCAUGCCGCGUGUGUGAAGAAGGCCUUCGGGUUGUAAAGCACUUUCAGUAGGGAGGAAGCGUUUGUGUGUUAAUAGUACACAGCGUUGACGUUACCUACAGAAGAGCACCGGCUAAACUCUGUGCCAGCAGCCGCGGGUAUACAGAGGGUGCAAGCGUUUAUCGGAAUUACUGGGCCGUAAAGCGCACGUAAGCGUUUUUUAAGUCAGAUGGUGAAAGCCCGGGCUCAACUGGGAUUGCAUUUGAAACUGGAAAACUAGAUGUGNNAGAAGGGGUAGAAUUCCAAGUGGUANGCGUGUAAAUGCGNUAAAGAAUUUGGAAGAAUAACAAUGGCGAAAGCGGCCCCCUGGCACAACACUUGACGCUCUCAGGUGCGAAAGCGCUGGGGAGCAAACAGGAUUAGAUACCCUGAUAGUCCACGCCGGUAAACGAUGUCUACUAACUGUUCCUGACCUUGUGUCGUGAGUAGCGCAGCUAACGCAUUAAGUAGACCGCCUGGGGAGUACGGUCGCAAGAUUAAAACUCAAAUGAAUUGACGGGGGCCCGCACAAGCGGUGGAGCAUGUGGUUUAAUUCGACGCAACGCGAAGAACCUUACCUACUCUUGACAUCUACAGAAGACUGCAGAGAUGCGGUUGUGCCUUCGGGAACUGUAAGACAGGUGCUGCAUGGCUGUCGUCAGCUCGUGUUGUGAAAUGUUGGGUUAAGUCCCGCAGCGAGCGCAACCCUUAUCCUUAGUUGCCAGCACGUUAUGGUGGGAACUCUAGGGAGACUGCCGGUGAUAAACCGGAGGAAGGUGGGGACGACGUCAAGUCAUCAUGGCCCUUACGAGUAGGGCUACACACGUGCUACAAUGGUAUGUACAGAGGGAGGCAAGCCUGCGAGGGUGAGCGGAUCUCUUAAAGCAUAUCGUAGUCCGGAUCGCAGUCUGCAACUCGACUGCG